Molecule: ribosomal RNA, 510 nt
Filed under: uncultured bacterium
Lineage: Bacteria
Description: SSU rRNA
Rfam family: Bacterial small subunit ribosomal RNA
Source: RNAcentral
AGGACGAACGCUGGCGGCGCGCUUAACACAUGCAAGUCGAGCGAUAACCAUGGCUUCGGCUAUGGGGAGAGCGGCGAACGGGUGAGUAACACGUGGGCAACCUGCCCCCGAAGAUCGGGACAACCCGGGGAAACCCGAGCUAAUACCGAAUGUGGUCACCGUCCACAAGGACGAUGAGCAAAGGGAGCUUCGGCCCCCGCUUCGGGAUGGGCCCGCGGCCCAUUAGCUUGUUGGUGAGGUAACGGCUCACCAAGGCGACGAUGGGUAGCUGGUCUGAGAGGACGAUCAGCCACACUGGGACUGAGACACGGCCCAGACUCCUACGGGAGGCAGCAGUGGGGAAUCUUGCGCAAUGCGCGAAAGCGUGACGCAGCAACGCCGCGUGGGGAAGAAGGCUUUCGGGUCGUAAACCCCUUUCAGGAGGACGAAGCGUUCGGGGUGAAUAGCCUUCCGGAGUGACGGUACCUCACUAAGAAGCCCCGGCUAACUACGUGCCAGCAGCCGCGGUAA